UACGUAGGUGGCGAGCGUUGUCCGGAUUUACUGGCGUAAAGAGCGCGCAGGCGGUUCGUGCAAGUCGCGUGUGAAAGCCCCCGGCUCAACUGGGGAGGGUCACGCGAUACUGCUCGACUCGAAGGCAGGAGAGGGAAGUGGAAUUCCUGGUGUAGCGGUGGAAUGCGCAGAUAUCAGGAGGAACACCAAUGGCGAAGGCAGCACUCUGGGACGUGACUGACGCUGAGACGCGAAGCGUGGGGAGCAAACAGG
Molecule: ribosomal RNA, 252 nt
Filed under: uncultured bacterium
Lineage: Bacteria
Description: partial 16S ribosomal RNA
Rfam family: Bacterial small subunit ribosomal RNA
Source: RNAcentral